AAAAAAGAUCCAUGUCAUAUUUCAACAAUCAUGUCUUUCACCUAUUCAUUGAUUGGCCUUGGUCUUGCAAUUGCCAAAGUUGCAGGUUAUAUAUGUUUCAUUUCAUGACACUAUAUCUUGGCAGAAAAAAAAAACAUUAUCCUUAAACUGGUUUUUGUUUUGAAACAGAAAAUGGUUCUUUAAAAGGUAGUCUCACAGGAGUAAGCAUUGGAACUGUGUCGAAAGUGGAAAUUAUACUGCUUUUCUCUUUAACUAAUUGGCUAUCGUUUUCUGUUAGAUUCGCUACGUAAAACUGUUUUGCAGAUGCUCUGUAGGAUUGCCGGCAGUUUGGUAUCAAAGAUACAGUUUGGAUGGAGUAUAAUGAUGGGAAUGGAAGUCAUGUGCAAAUUAGUUUAAAGAAAAAGGUUCUAAAGUAAGGCAAGGAAGGAGUCAUCAAGAAGAAAUUGUUAGAAGCAAUUCAAAUUUAGUUUUUUUUAGAUAGUAAAAUAUAUAAAACAAAACAAAAAGUCAAAUUAAUUUUAAAAUUUAAAUAAACUGUUUUAUAAUAAAUUAUAAAUUAAUAACUGAUAUUAAUAAGAGUAUUGAAAGUGAACCUAUUUGUUUAAAUACUCUUAUUUGUUUUUUUUUAUAAAAUUUAAACUUUUAAUCGGACAAAUUCAUCAAUGAGCAUUUAGGUUUGAAUAAUUAUUGAUUUUAUGUCUAAUGUAAUUCUAUGUACUAAUGAUGUUCUUUAAUUCUUUUAUCUUUCUAACAUUGUCGGUGUAUUAUUUUAUUCAUGACCUCUUUGCUAAAAAAAGAAAUAAAAUUAUCCUAAUAAAGAGGACUUUCCAUUGUCUCACAGAUGCCAAAAUUGCCAAUGCAGCAGCUAAUUAAACAGCCACGGCUGAGAGUUUGAUCGAUUUAAUUGUCAUCGCAUUCUGAACCUUCUAUUCACCUUGAAUUAAUUGAAAUUUAAUUUAUAUUUAUAUUUAUAUUUGAUUAGUUAUUUCUUUUAUAUUUGUAUCUAAUUUUUUUCUUCAUAUUAAAAUUAAAACGCUAACGGAUCAAUUCCAGCUAAAUACGAAAUAAUAUAGUACAGACACUCACGGGUAGUUAUAUGAUACUGAUAUUAACAUAUUUAAUUAAAUAUUAAAUAAUAACAAGAAUAAGUUUACUAUUGAUUUAAAUAAUUUUAUAGAUAAUUCCAAAACAAAAUUAAUUUGGAACAUUGAUUAAUCAAUAUAUCCCAAACUUUAUUGAAUUUUUUUUUCUAUAUUUUACACAUUUGUUUUUAGGAUAUUUACUUCUACAAUAAUAUAUAUUGAACAAAAUAACAUUUUUGCUUACUGUUUUUACAGCACUCAAUUGUAGUUUAUUUAAACAUUUUCUCAAUUAUGAUUGGAAAUGGUACAAAUAUUCUAUGAAAUAACUCUUGAUAUUCCCUUAGAGAAAAAAUACACAACCGGUGAUAAACAUAUUUUGGUGUGGUGAAACUAAAUUAUAUUGUGAAGAAA
Long non-coding RNA from Vicia villosa (hairy vetch), 1493 nucleotides. RefSeq lists it as uncharacterized. The transcript has 3 exons. NCBI's taxonomy places the organism in Eukaryota, Viridiplantae, Streptophyta, Magnoliopsida, Fabales, Fabaceae. The record is from RefSeq and is a predicted model, not a curated record.